GAUGAAGAACGUAGUGAAAUGCGAUACGUAAUGUGAAUUGCAGAAUUCAGUGAAUCAUCGAGUCUUUGAACGCACAUUGCGCCCCCUGGUAUUCCGGGGGGCAUGCCUGUCCGAGCGUCAUUGCUGCCCUCAAGCACGGCUUGUGUGUUGGGCCUCCGUCCUCCUCCCGGGGGACGGGCCCGAAAGGCAGCGGCGGCACCGCGUCCGGUCCUCGAGCGUAUGGGGCUUCGUCACCCGCUCUUGUAGGCCCGGCCGGCGCUUGCCGACACAUCAAUCUUUUUUCCAGGUUGACCUCGGAUCAGGUAGGGAUACCCGCUGAACUUAAGCAUAUCAAUCGGAGGA
This 342-nucleotide unclassified non-coding RNA is filed under the name soil metagenome. Its description in RNAcentral is "partial contains 5.8S ribosomal RNA, internal transcribed spacer 2, and large subunit ribosomal RNA". The stretch from base 1 to 120 matches the Rfam family "5.8S ribosomal RNA", at positions 35 to 154 of the family's 154-position model. The record is from RNAcentral.